This 247-nucleotide ribosomal RNA is filed under the name uncultured crenarchaeote. Its description in RNAcentral is "partial 16S ribosomal RNA". It matches the Rfam family "Archaeal small subunit ribosomal RNA", at positions 478 to 725 of the family's 1478-position model. Lineage: Archaea; Thermoproteati; Thermoproteota. The record is from RNAcentral.
AGCUCUCCGAGUGGUGUGGAUGUUUAUUGGGCCUAAAGCAUCCGUAGCUGGCUAGGUAAGUCCCUUGUUAAAUCCACCGAAUUAAUCGUUGGAUCGCGGGGGAUACUGCUUGGCUAGGGGACGAGAGAGGCAGACGGUAUUUUCGGGGUAGGGGUGAAAUCCUAUAAUCCCGGGAAGACCACCAGUGGCGAAGGCUGUCUGCUAGAACGCGCCCGACGGUGAGGGAUGAAAGCUGGGGGAGCGAACC